AUGGUAAUUUAUAGGCGUAUUUUGCUUAUUUUUUUACUUGUUCACGUUAUUUUAAAUGUAUUUGCAAAUGGCAGUUCUAGAUUUUUUCAUAAAGAUGUUUUAGGUAAUAGCCAUUAUCACAAUGGUAAUGAUAACACAAUUGAUUCUAAUAAACGAGAUAUACAUAAGCAUGAACACACGUAUAUUAGACAUCCCUUUAGUUUUUUGAAACGUGAUGGGCAAUCUGAAAAUAUAAAAGAAAAAAACGAGCUUAAUACUACAAAAAAUGCUGAAACUCGAUUCGUAGAGAAUAAAAAAGAAGCAUAUAAUUUAUAUAAAUUGCAUUUAAAUGAAAAUAAUUUAAAAUGGACCAUUCCUGUUUUUAUGGGUUCCCAGCAAACUAAACUAAAUUUACUUGUAAACACGGCUACACCUACUACAGCAGUACAGUGUUCUUAUGAUUCAACAAACAACGUAUCAAAUGAUGUAGAAUCAUCAUAUAAUAUUGAAGGGUCAUCUGAUUUUAAUUAUGUUAAUUGUGAAGAUAAUUUUUGUGUUGAUUUGAAACACCAUGGGUCCUGUGAAUCAAUAAAAAAUAAUUUGAAGUUGUUGGAAAAAAAACAAGGAAAGCUUAGAAAAUAUAAUAAAUAUGGUAGCUCUAAGUUUAUAAAUAAUAAUAACAGUUUUUUAAAUAUGAACCCAUAUACCGGUAAUGAAACUGUUUGUUUGAUGAGCGAAAAUUUAAAUAAGAGAGAUAUGAAAGGAUUUUUUUUUGCUGAUUCGUUAUCUUUCAAUAAUGACAGUAAAACCAAAUGCAAUUACCCCUAUUUUGCAUGCAUAACUGAUAGUAAGAAUUUGCAUUUAGAUAAAGGAGUUUCGGGUUUUAUAGGUUUGGCACCAUUUUAUAAAAAUGAAACAAAUAAUAAUCAGUAUCCUGGAAUUACAAAUUAUUUUGUUAAUAGUGAUAUGACUUCGAGACCAGACACCUGGGCCAUACAUCUAAUCAAGAAUGGUGGAUAUAUUGUUUUCGGUGAAAAUGAAUCAGUUUAUUCUUAUGCAAAAAAUAACCUUCAAAUGAUAGAAGCAGGAGCUAAAACAAAAAAUAAUCAAAGCGAAUUUACACAAGAGGAAAAUUUUACAGAUGAUAAUAAAGCAUACAUAGAUUAUGAAUUAAAAAAAAAUGCUUAUGCCGUAAAUUUAAGUUCAAUAGAAGCAAAUAUGAAAAAUAAUUAUAUUUUUUUAAAUGUAAAGAGUACAGCGGUUCUUGAUACAUGUUAG
This 1257-nucleotide long non-coding RNA is filed under the name Piliocolobus tephrosceles (Ugandan red Colobus). Its description in RNAcentral is "lncRNA (ENSPTEG00000011605.1)". The record is from RNAcentral. Lineage: Eukaryota; Metazoa; Chordata; Mammalia; Primates; Cercopithecidae.